UCUACCAUUUAACUUUAAGCCACGGCAGGCAUGUCCUUGAGCCAGGGGUCAAGGGGCUUUCCAAUGGAGUAAACAAUGAAGCCGAUCUCCCGCAUCUUCUCAGCAUCAAUUACGUUGCGACCGUCAAACAAGAAUGCAGGUUUCUGCAUGCUAUCAUAGAUCUUCUUGUAGUCGAGUGUCUUGAACUCAUCCCACUCAGUCAAGAUGCAGAUACCAUGCGCCCCCUUGGUGGCUUCAUACGCAUCCCAGGUCACAGAGACCUGCUUCACUGCGGUUGGGCUCAUUGGCUGCAGGUGGAUUGGGUGGUCCCAGUCGAACUUGUUCAUCGCGAGAUCACGUUGGAUCUGUUCCUCUGUCACCUGCGGGUCGUAGAUGCUAAUCUUAGCUUUGUCUCCAAGGAGUCCCUUACAGACAUCAAUGGCGGCGGUCUCCCUCGUGUCACCGGUAUCCUUCUUGAAUGCAAAACCGAGAACUGCAAUCUUCUUUCCAGAGACAGUGUUGAACAUAGAAGACACAACACGGUUCACGAAUCUGCUCUUCUGGUAAUCAUUGAUCUUGAUAACCUGCUUCCAGUAGUUGGCGACCUCAGGCAGUCCAUUGCACUCACAGAUGUAUACAAGGUUGAGGAUGUCCUUCUGGAAGCAUGAGCCUCCAAAACCAACACUAGCAUUCAAGAAUUUGGGUCCAAUCCUUGAAUCCUUGCCAACAGCAUAGGCCACCUCUGCCACAUUGGCACCAGUGGCCUCACACAGAGCAGAGAUUGCAUUCACUGAUGAGAUCCUUUGAGCCAAGAAGGCAUUUGCAGCAAGCUUGGACAGCUCCGCUGACCAUAGGUUGGUUGUGAGAAUACGGUCCUCAGGGACCCAAUUGGCAUAUACAUCCUUCAGGGCCUUAACAGCCUUCUGGCCCUCUGGAGUCUCCCGACCACCGAUGAGCACACGGUCAGGCUUGAAAAGGUCCUCAAUUGCUGUGCCCUCCGCAAGGAAUUCAGGGUUUGAGAGGAUCUGGAACUUGAUUCCCUUGCUAUUGUGUGCCAAGAUCUUCUCAAUGGCUUCAGCAGUCUUGACAGGGACAGUGGACUUCUCAACCACAAUCUUGUCGGACUUGGCCACAUCUGCAAUCAUGCGGGCUGCACUCUCCCAGUAGGUUAGAUCCGCGGCUUUGCCAGCCCCAAGACCACGGGUCUUGGUUGGUGUGUUUACAGAGACAAAGAUGAUAUCAGCCUCAGCAACAUGCUUCUCAAUAUCAUUGCUGAAGAAGAGAUUCCUGCCACGGCACUGCUUGACCACUUCAUCAAGGCCUGGUUCAUAAAUAGGGAGCUGAUCGCUGUUCCAUGCUGCGAUGCGUGGAACAGAAAUGUCGACGACACAAACUUCAAUAGCAGGGCAUUUCAGUGCAAUGACAGCCAUGGUUGGGCCGCCAACAUAUCCAGCACCGAGGCAGCAUAUCUUCACCAUCUUUCUUAAACUAUCCGAGUAACUGCACGUGGAAAAUGAGAAUACUGACAUUAGUUACCUUAGAAAGCAUGAUUCAUUGUGGCAAGAGAUUUUGGAGCUGUAAGAAGUAUGGUGAAGACAAUGAUAAAUUAUGUCAGGUAUUAAGAAUUAAGUGCACAAGGUUUCAGGUUGUCGUCAGCAUUAACAACUAUUUUAUUUGCUGGAAAACUGGUAUGAGCAAAUAGUUAACAACAAAAUCUUGACAUAUUAUGCACAAAGACUCCAAAUUAUUUAUUCUCCCAGAUAUUUCACAGAAGAUUUUCGAGCUGUAAAAGAAGUAAGGUGAAGACAAUAAACAAAUCAUUUCAGAUAUACUAAGAAUUAAGUGCACAAGGUUUCCGGUUGUCGUUAGCAUUAACAACCAUUUUAUUUGAUCGAAAAGCCGGUAGAGCAAAUAGAUAACAACAAAAUCUUGAUAAACUGAACUAUUGAUACAAUAGAAGAGAUGUAGGGUGCAAUGGUGUGCAUCCAUUGAAUAGCAGCUGACAUUCACAUUAUGGAAAUGUAUCAACCUAGUGAGACUUGUGUCAACAGAGAUCAGACGAUUCAUUCUUGGCAUAAUAAGCCACCAAUACUACCAAGAGCAAUUUUGGCAGGCAUGCUGGCUCAUGCAUAUGCUUCAGAUUACCAAUAUUAGGCCAAAGCCCGUAGCUUUUUAGCACCCAACAUCCACAUAUAGACAAGGAACUCUGAGCAUAUAAUUCUUUUGGAGAAAAAGAAUGACCGUGUAAAUUCAUCAAAUGAUUCAGUGCACAGUUGUGUUAAGUAAAGACUGAAUCAUGAACAAGAACAAUAGUUAUUAGCCAUGGUGCCAGGUGGAGAUCUGACAUUUGGUGAUAAACCAAACGUCAUGACCAGAUUGUCUCGCUUGUUGGCAUUUGGCAAUGCACAUUGACGGCGACCAUUUCGUGUUUUCGACCUCCUUGAUUCUUCUGGCAACCAAAACAAUCUUGAAUGCAGGCCAAAAAAAAAAACAAGCCAUCUAUAGAGCGUAAACAUAUAGAGCCAGAUUUUGCAAGCCAUCUCGUGAGACUAACCAAUCCCGGGGGUGGGUUGGGGGGGGGGGGGGGGGGGGGGGGGGGGGUCGGUGAUCCUUGGGGUACAGUUGACCCCGCGCCCCCAGACAAAGAGAAAUGGAAAAUGAACUAAACAGCACGCAAGAAAUGGUUCGUAAACCUGGUGGAGGAUGGUCAGAGCACCAAUCCCAGAUAGAAGUUACUCGGAUUUGGGUGCUCAGUCGCAGCGAAGGGAAGGUUUCCGCAAAGCAGAAAUGGACUGAAUGACUAGGUGGGAUUACCGGAACAGGGGAAAAUCCGAGACCAGAGAGAGCAAGCGAGGCAUACCUCCUGAAGUUCUCCUGACCAACCGGACCUCGGCGGCCGUCUUCUCCGCCUCGCCGCGAGAUCUGGAUCUGUCUGAGGUCGGAGUGGAAGAGGAGCCUCGUGUUCGUGUCC
This 2950-nucleotide long non-coding RNA is filed under the name Setaria viridis. Its description in RNAcentral is "long non-coding RNA (SVIR_LNC011389)". Lineage: Eukaryota; Viridiplantae; Streptophyta; Magnoliopsida; Poales; Poaceae. The record is from RNAcentral.